GUGUCAGCAGCCGCGGUAAUACGUAGGGGGCAAGCGUUGUUCGGAAUUACUGGGCGUAAAGCGCGCGUAGGCGGUUUGGAAAGUCAGAUGUGAAAGCCCCGGGCUCAACUUGGGAACUGCAUUUGAUACUGCCAGACUAGAGUACAGAAGAGGUGACUGGAAUUCCCAGUGUAGCGGUGAAAUGCGUAGAUAUUGGGAGGAACACCAGAUGCGAAGGCGGGUCACUGGGCUGAUACUGACGCUGAAGUGCGAAAGCCAGGGGAGCGAACGGGAUUAGAUACCCCUGUAGUCC
RNAcentral lists this ribosomal RNA (292 nucleotides) under uncultured bacterium. Its description in RNAcentral is "partial 16S ribosomal RNA". It matches the Rfam family "Bacterial small subunit ribosomal RNA", at positions 505 to 796 of the family's 1533-position model. The record is from RNAcentral.